Long non-coding RNA from Aplysia californica (California sea hare), 3642 nucleotides. RefSeq lists it as uncharacterized. NCBI's taxonomy places the organism in Eukaryota, Metazoa, Mollusca, Gastropoda, Aplysiida, Aplysiidae. The transcript is spliced from 3 exons. The record is from RefSeq and is a predicted model, not a curated record.
GCUAGCCGCUGCUUCGCCAAGUUCCCAGGCGCUGGGUGAGCACUGAGGGUAGCGAAUCGGAGAAGUUGCCCUUCGUCUCCAGCAAGAAGUGAACGGGGACGAACCAUCUUUUUUUCAAGUCCUCAAACUUCACAGUGCUUUUAUAUUUGUAUUUUUAUGUGAAUCAUUUCUUCCAAAUUGUAUGUCUGUGUAUAUAUUUCUAUAUUUAUUUAUUUAUUUAUAUGCGGAUGAUUUCAAUGUGAAUACGAGAAAGGAUUUCAUCAUCUGGACGGAGUUGAAUGUGCCACCCAGAUUUUGUGGAGCGGGGAUUGAGUCCGAGUGAGUUGAGCAUUGUGUGGUCUAUGGUGGACGACCGUGUGCUGUGUGUGGGGCUGUGAGCAACAAGUGGAUGAUGGAGCAAGAUCUAUGGAUUUAUGGACGCUUCCAAACGAUUGACGGAUAUUCCAGCUAAAGAAGCCAGUCAGCUGCGAUGUGUGAAAUCGAGUCUCUCCAGCUUUUGGACGUGUGCACUGUCGUCUCCGACACGAUUGGAUGUGGACGGACACCCACGGGGCUGCUGAAGGGCGCUUGUUUUCCUGAUGUGUGUUGCUUUUAUUGACCCAAAUGCAACCCAACUGGCAAAGAGUGCGGACUGCGUCAUCGUCUCCUCUCUACCGCCCACCGUGUGAACGUCCCCGAACCAAUUAUCACACAUCGAGGAACCAACAUCUCUCCGACAGCCAGACUACCAACGCAUGGUUCCAUUUGCUGUAAAUGCAUACAAUGAGCGUGAAACUGACGAAGUGUGGCUUCGGAUUUCUCAAGAAGGAUUAAGUUAUUGAAUUCCUUGUUGGUUGUUUGGUUUAAUUAUUUUUUUCAGAUAUUUUCUGAUUGGUGAUUGUGAUUUUGUUACAGUGUUCGUUGCCACUGGUUUCAAUCGUCUAUCGAUGUAAGAAAUAAGUAGCUUCGGUUCUGUGCUGUGAACCCUGGAUUAUGUUUCUCUGUCAGAGGCUGUGAGUAGACGAUCGAGUGAAAUGUAGCAGUGUCUGGUGAAACGUUCGAGUGCAGACUCAUCUUGUACAUAGAAGAUUAGAUUGUGCUUGCGGUCCGCUACCUGUUGAUUAUCGGGGAAAUUGUGACGUAGUUUUGUCCAAGUGUCCGCGAGAGAGGAAUGUCUCAUGUGGCUAUGGAACAAAGGUUCUGUGUUCGAUUUGGGUGUGUUGUUUCUUGAGAGAAUGUGAGAUCUUCAAACCAAUUUGUUUGAGGACUAUCUGCGGAUGCCUUUGUUGAUCAAAGUGCAUGCUGGGAGUGAAAAUUUAGAUUAUUUGAUUCCCAAGUGUACAAGGGAAUCCAUUUAAAGAUAAUCAUUUACAAAAUUCAACACAGCAUUGUGUGGUAGAUAAAUCAUUCUUGCCUUUGCGGGAUAGUAUUUGGAGACUACUUUUGAACAGAAUCCAGAUGUCAACGGUUGAUUUUCAAACCGGAUUAACGUCUCCGAAAAGACUCGUGGAAAAGUUUCUUUUUGGUUGUUGAUGUAUUCAGAUACGGUGUUAAUGGUGUUUUACGAUCUGCCCUGCACUUUAGAGAUGUUUCUUUGAAUACGUGGGAGUACACUGAUCUACGUCACUAGUUGCGUGGUCUGUGGAGACGUAUUGUGGAAAGUAUUGCUUCUUUGACAGACCUGUGUGUGAUGUGUUUUUCUUAAGAGUGUUCCUGAAAUCUGAUUUUAAAAAAAACAGAAAAGAAAAACUGCAGCAGCCGGAGUGUGUGUCCGUGAGUGUGUGGUGGUUGGUUUGUUGCCUCGUGGGUGCCCCAUCCAUGCGUGGCUUUAUCUAUGUCUGGGACGAGCUUGGUCAGAGCUCUUCCUUCCUCCAGGGCUAGGGGCUGUGAACUAUGCUGGCCCGCUGCUCUGAGCAUGCGCGAGCUAUUUGUCGGCUGAGCGUAGCUGAAGUGAGGCGAGCGACGCCGUCUGUCUUCUCCCUCCUCAUGGUGGUAUCCUUGCUGUUGGCGGACGGAAUUCUACCGGUGAUCGCCACCAAGUACAGGGCCGUCCCGCCUUCGGAAGCGGCUGCCUUGUACAUGAGCAAACCCGGCGCUCGUGGGACUGUUGGUGGUGGAAGGGUUAAUGGCGAACACGGAGUCACUGGUGGAAAGAGGGUUAAUGAUGGUGAUGGUGGGGGUGGAAGAGGUAAUGGUGAUGGAGGUGGGGGAGGAAGAGGAAGAAGUGACGCAGGGGGAGGAGGCGGUGGUGGUGGUGGUGGCUUAAAUAAUCGAGGUGGCAUUAUCAACAACAGUGGUAGUAGCAGCAGCAGCAGCAGUAGCGGCAGCAGCAGCAGCAGCAGCCGUAGUGGCAGCAGCUCACAUCACAGGACUAAAGUGCGUGUGAAGACGUUUGUCAGCGCAGUCGAAGGUGGUGGUGUUGGUGGAGGAGAAGGAGGGAGUGCUGUCGGGGGUCAAAGGUCGGGUGUGAGUGUCGCAGGCAUCCGGACACGUAGCGGGGGCGUUCUGGUGGACAACGCUAAGCACAUGCGCUCACAGCAUCUCCGACUCCAGUUGAGCGGGGGAGGAGGAGGAGGAGGGGGAGGAGGUGUUGGAGACAAGGAGAACAAGUUCACCACAAACAUUGUGUCUUUGGGAGAGGAGGGCCGGCCUGAUCAGGGGACGCGGGAACGUCAGACAAACUAUAUCAGCCACCCACGUCGCAAAGGGUAUCCGCAGGGCGGUUCUGCUAGUGAACAUUCACAACUCAACUCAAAACCAUCCUCACUACCUUCUUCCUUGUCCUCCUCCGCCUCAUCGUCAUUGUCGUCUUUGUCGUCGUCUUCGUCGUCGUCGUCUUCAUUAUCGUCUUCAUCCUCUGCAUUGUCAUCUUCAUCAUCGUCGUCGUCUUCAUCAUCGUUGUCAUCUGACCGCAGCAACAACCACCACCACCAGAACCGGGACGUCGGGUACCCCUCCCUCUCUUCCUCCUCCUCAGCCUCCUCCAAUCACAACCAAAAGGGCGUGGCCUCUUCCUCAUCAGACCACGCCCCUUUCCCAUCCUCCUUAGACUGCAGCGCCGCCCGAGGCCGGGCGCUGAUGUCAAACGACGACAACAAUAACGACGACGAUGACAAUGUGGACAACACGUGUCCGGCCAUCCCCAAGCUCUUCCUGCCCCACUCCUGCCGUUCCUGCGACACGCUCAAGGCAGGACGACAGUGCCUGCCUCUCACAGACGACCUGGCCAAGGCCGUCUGCAGCUGCCAGACGUCAGACCGUGACGUCAUCAUUCGCAAGUCCCGCCUCCGCUUCUGCUCCUCCUUCAACACCGAAAAUGUUUCGUGCGCCUCGGACUUCACAGCCAGCCGGAAGGAGUGCCCUCUGGUGGACAAAGACCAGAAGUCCUGUUCGGAGUACCUUGACCGGAUUAUUAAUGAUGACCGAGAAGCCGAGAGGAGGUACCAGGAUUUCAUGGAGCUCAUUGGCCGUUACGACUGCAACAGCAGCUAUUCGGUCAAGUGGGAGUGUGAGCACUGCAAGGUAAGGUUUCCAGACUUUGUUUGUUAAAGCCGUUUGCUUUCUUAAUUGGUGGGCGAGUGUGUGUUUGGCUAGUUUGUAGAGGGCUUAUUAAAAAUUAAAGGAAUGUAAUUGGGUCUGCUUGGUGAAUUAGUUCAACAUGUU